This 491-nucleotide ribosomal RNA is filed under the name uncultured bacterium. RNAcentral's name for it is "partial 16S ribosomal RNA". It matches the Rfam family "Bacterial small subunit ribosomal RNA", at positions 899 to 1397 of the family's 1533-position model. The record is from RNAcentral.
ACUCAAAUGAAUUGACGGGGACCCGCACAACCGGUGGAGCGUGUGGUUCAAUUCGAGACAAAACGAAGAACCUCACCAGGGCUUGACAUAAUACCGUACAUUUCUGUGGAAACACGGAGAAAUCCGCAAGGAUGGUAUUACAGGUGCUGCAUGGCUGUCGUCAGCUCGUGCCGUGAGGUGUUCCCUUAAGUGGGGAAACGAGCGCAACCCCUGUCUAAUGUUAAAUAUUCAUUAGAUACGGUCUUUGAUUUUUCAAAGAAGGAAGGAAGGGAAGACGUCAAGUCAGCAUGGUCCUUACGCCCUGGGCCACACACACACUACAAUGGCGAAUAACAACGAGCAGCAAGUACGUAAGUGCAAGCAAAUCUCUAAAAUUUCGCCUCAGUUCAGAUUGGGGUCUGAAACCCGACCCCAUGAAGUCGGAAUCGGUAGUAAUCGCGGAUCAGCAAGCCGCGGUGAAUACGUUCUCGGGUCUUGUACACACCGCCCGU